Picea glauca (white spruce) is the source of this 124-nucleotide non-coding RNA. NCBI's taxonomy places the organism in Eukaryota, Viridiplantae, Streptophyta, Pinopsida, Pinales, Pinaceae. The record is from Rfam.
UCAUAUGUACAUGCCUACAAUGUUAAUGCAUUGGAUCCCAUUAAAACUCCACAGUUAAUCACACUUGGGAUAGAAUAGUAUAGGGAUGGGUGAUCUCCUAGGAAGUCUUAAUGUUUUACAUGCC